UGGCUCAGGAUGAACGCUAGCGGCAGGCUUAACACAUGCAAGUCGAGGGGCAGCGGGGAGGAAGCUUGCUUUCUCCGCCGGCGACCGGCGCACGGGUGAGUAACACGUAUGCAACCUGCCCCUGUCAGGGGGACAACCCGCCGAAAGGCGGGCUAAACCCGCGUACAUGCCACCGGGGCAUCCCGGAGGCAGGAAAGGCUUCGGCCGGACAGGGAUGGGCAUGCGGCGCAUUAGGCAGUAGGCGGGGUAACGGCCCACCUAACCGACGAUGCGUAGGGGUUCUGAGAGGAAGGUCCCCCACACUGGUACUGAGACACGGACCAGACUCCUACGGGAGGCAGCAGUGAGGAAUAUUGGUCAAUGGUCGGGAGACUGAACCAGCCAAGCCGCGUGAGGGAUGAAGGUACAGAGUAUCGUAAACCUCUUUUGUCAGGGAACAAAGGCGGGGACGUGUCCCCGGAUGAGUGUACCUGAAGAAAAAGCAUCGGCUAACUCCGUGCCAGCAGCCGCGGUAAUACGGAGGAUGCGAGCGUUAUCCGGAUUUAUUGGGUUUAAAGGGUGCGCAGGCGGUCUGUUAAGUCAGCGGUCAAAGCCCGGGGCUCAACCCCGGCCCGCCGUUGAAACUGGCAGUCUCGAGUUGGAGAGAAGUAUGCGGAAUGCGCGGUGUAGCGGUGAAAUGCAUAGAUAUCGCGCAGAACUCCGAUUGCGAAGGCAGCAUGCCGGCUCCACACUGACGCUGAGGCACGAAAGCGUGGGUAUCGAACAGGAUUAGAUACCCUGGUAGUCCACGCAGUAAACGAUGAAUGCUGGCUGUCCGGGGGGGAUUGACCCCUGGGUGGCGAAGCGAAAGCGAUAAGCAUUCCACCUGGGGAGUACGCCGGCAACGGUGAAACUCAAAGGAAUUGACGGGGGCCCGCACAAGCGGAGGAACAUGUGGUUUAAUUCGAUGAUACGCGAGGAACCUUACCCGGGCUCAAACGGGGAGUGACUCAGGCAGAGACGCCUGUUUCCCACGGGACACUCCCCGAGGUGCUGCAUGGUUGUCGUCAGCUCGUGCCGUGAGGUGUCGGCUUAAGUGCCAUAACGAGCGCAACCCCCGCGUGCAGUUGCUAACAGAUAACGCUGAGGACUCUGCACGGACUGCCGGCGCAAGCCGCGAGGAAGGCGGGGAUGACGUCAAAUCAGCACGGCCCUUACGUCCGGGGCGACACACGUGUUACAAUGGGUGGUACAGCGGGAAGCCAGGCGGCGACGCCGAGCGGAACCCGAAAUCCACUCUCAGUUCGGAUCGGAGUCUGCAACCCGACUCCGUGAAGCUGGAUUCGCUAGUAAUCGCGCAUCAGCCAUGGUGCGGUGAAUACGUUCCCGGGCCUUGUACACACCGCCCGUCAAGCCAUGGGAGCCGAGGGCGCUUGAAGUGCGUCGCCGCGAGGCGCGCCCUAGAGCGAAAUCGGUGACUGGGGCUAAGUCGUAACAAGGUAGCCG
RNAcentral lists this ribosomal RNA (1485 nucleotides) under uncultured bacterium. RNAcentral's name for it is "16S ribosomal RNA". It matches the Rfam family "Bacterial small subunit ribosomal RNA". The record is from RNAcentral.